GGGUCCCUCCCACCGGCCGCAAAGCGAACCGGCCCGGGUUUUAGUGGCUGCGAGGUCCUCCCAGCCUACUCCACGGCCCCUCCUAGCGCGAGGCUCCUUCCGCCCCGGAACCUCCCCUGGCUCCCGCCUCCUGCGCGGCUACCCCUUUGCUGGGCAGAUGGCGUAGGACUUCCCGAUUGCAGCGGCCCGUCUCACCGCGAGUCCCAGCUGUCUCUUCCCCAGUCCCCAGCCUUUCAGCAGUCCCGAUAUUAGAGGAUUCCCAACAUUUCAGCUGUCUUCUGGACAACCUCUGGAGCUGCCACUGGCAACGCACAGCCACGCGGCCAAAGUGGAACCCAGCAUCGCUCAAACAAGUGCCUUCCUCCAGGAUUCGCAGUUUUUAACGGGAUACCACCAUCCACUCUGGUGUGCCCACACCAGAAAGUUGAGAAAAACCGUGAUUGGUGCCUCUGCUGAGCAUGGGACAAGAAGAGUUAACAUGCUGACAGAUGGCAUUUUUUACCUUCAGUCAAUAUGAACAAGGCCCCAAGACUAUGAUUCCAAACAUCUGGAUUUCAUCAAUAUGUGAUCUGUCAUCGUAUAUUGGCAUUCCCCAGUCCCCGCGCCAGAGCAAUGCGGCUGGUUUUAUUAAUACGUCAAAUACAUUAUCCGUGUAAUACACUUGUCUGGCUGGGGCCUCCCGCUGGGGCGGGGCGGUGGAUUUGAAUGUAUGAUGAAUCAGUUUGCA
Balaenoptera acutorostrata (minke whale) is the source of this 727-nucleotide long non-coding RNA. RefSeq lists it as uncharacterized. The record is from RefSeq and is a predicted model, not a curated record. Lineage: Eukaryota; Metazoa; Chordata; Mammalia; Artiodactyla; Balaenopteridae. The transcript is spliced from 2 exons.